UGGCUCAGAUUGAACGCUGGCGGCAGGCCUAACACAUGCAAGUCGAGCGGUAGCACAGAGAGCUUGCUCUCGGGUGACGAGCGGCGGACGGGUGAGUAAUGUCUGGGAAACUGCCUGAUGGAGGGGGAUAACUACUGGAAACGGUAGCUAAUACCGCAUAAUGUCGCAAGACCAAAGUGGGGGACCUUCGGGCCUCAUGCCAUCAGAUGUGCCCAGAUGGGAUUAGCUAGUAGGUGGGGUAACGGCUCACCUAGGCGACGAUCCCUAGCUGGUCUGAGAGGAUGACCAGCCACACUGGAACUGAGACACGGUCCAGACUCCUACGGGAGGCAGCAGUGGGGAAUAUUGCACAAUGGGCGCAAGCCUGAUGCAGCCAUGCCGCGUGUGUGAAGAAGGCCUUCGGGUUGUAAAGCACUUUCAGCGGGGAGGAAGGCGUUAAGGUUAAUAACCUUGGCGAUUGACGUUACCCGCAGAAGAAGCACCGGCUAACUCCGUGCCAGCAGCCGCGGUAAUACGGAGGGUGCAAGCGUUAAUCGGAAUUACUGGGCGUAAAGCGCACGCAGGCGGUCUGUCAAGUCGGAUGUGAAAUCCCCGGGCUCAACCUGGGAACUGCAUUCGAAACUGGCAGGCUAGAGUCUUGUAGAGGGGGGUAGAAUUCCAGGUGUAGCGGUGAAAUGCGUAGAGAUCUGGAGGAAUACCGGUGGCGAAGGCGGCCCCCUGGACAAAGACUGACGCUCAGGUGCGAAAGCGUGGGGAGCAAACAGGAUUAGAUACCCUGGUAGUCCACGCCGUAAACGAUGUCGAUUUGGAGGUUGUGCCCUUGAGGCGUGGCUUCCGGAGCUAACGCGUUAAAUCGACCGCCUGGGGAGUACGGCCGCAAGGUUAAAACUCAAAUGAAUUGACGGGGGCCCGCACAAGCGGUGGAGCAUGUGGUUUAAUUCGAUGCAACGCGAAGAACCUUACCUGGUCUUGACAUCCACAGAACUUUCCAGAGAUGGAUUGGUGCCUUCGGGAACUGUGAGACAGGUGCUGCAUGGCUGUCGUCAGCUCGUGUUGUGAAAUGUUGGGUUAAGUCCCGCAACGAGCGCAACCCUUAUCCUUUGUUGCCAGCGGUUAGGCCGGGAACUCAAAGGAGACUGCCAGUGAUAAACUGGAGGAAGGUGGGGAUGACGUCAAGUCAUCAUGGCCCUUACGACCAGGGCUACACACGUGCUACAAUGGCAUAUACAAAGAGAAGCGACCUCGCGAGAGCAAGCGGACCUCAUAAAGUAUGUCGUAGUCCGGAUUGGAGUCUGCAACUCGACUCCAUGAAGUCGGAAUCGCUAGUAAUCGUAGAUCAGAAUGCUACGGUGAAUACGUUCCCGGGCCUUGUACACACCGCCCGUCACACCAUGGGAGUGGGUUGCAAAAGAAGUAGGUAGCUUAACCUUCGGGAGGGCGCUUACCACUUUGUGAUUCAUGACUGGGGUGAAGUC
This 1475-nucleotide ribosomal RNA is filed under the name Klebsiella pneumoniae. RNAcentral's name for it is "bacterial SSU rRNA". It matches the Rfam family "Bacterial small subunit ribosomal RNA". The record is from RNAcentral. Lineage: Bacteria; Pseudomonadati; Pseudomonadota; Gammaproteobacteria; Enterobacterales; Enterobacteriaceae.